GCCCGAAUAGAAAUUGACAAGCUGGAGGACUCAGAGAUAACUCGACAGACUACGGAGGUCCCGUAGAUUAUCCUUCAUAAGAGUACGGCUUAGAGAAAAACUCGAAGAAUUGGUUCGGAUAGAGAUUGAUAGGCUAGAGGAUCCAAAGAUAACUUGAUGGGAUACAAAGGUCCCAUAAAUUAUCCUCCACAGGAGUAUGGCUUGGAGAAAAAUUCGAUGAGCUGGUUCAGAUAGAGAUCGAUAGGC
This 246-nucleotide long non-coding RNA is filed under the name Elaeis guineensis (African oil palm). Its description in RNAcentral is "long non-coding RNA (EGUI_LNC037275)". Lineage: Eukaryota; Viridiplantae; Streptophyta; Magnoliopsida; Arecales; Arecaceae. The record is from RNAcentral.